RNAcentral lists this unclassified non-coding RNA (240 nucleotides) under soil metagenome. RNAcentral describes it as "partial contains 5.8S ribosomal RNA, internal transcribed spacer 2, and large subunit ribosomal RNA". The record is from RNAcentral.
AACGGUCUAUACCUGCGGUACCUGCGGAGGGAUCAUUACCGAGUUAUCAACUCCCAAACCCCUGUGAACAUACCCGAACGUUGCCUCGGCGGGACCGCCCCGGCGCCCCUAGCGGCCCGGAACCAGGCGCCCGCCGGAGGACCCAAACUCUUGCUUUAGACAGUGGCAUACUCUCUGAGUCUCACAAACAAAAAAUAAAUCAAAACUUUCAGCAAUGGAUCUCUAGAUCGGAAGAGCACA